AGGGACCUCGAGUGCCUGUAUAUGCAGGCUGUCCAGGUGUCUAAAACACACCUGAAGAAAGGGCCGGGCAAGACCGGUGCCAGCCGCCGCGGU
This 93-nucleotide ribosomal RNA is filed under the name uncultured methanogenic archaeon. RNAcentral describes it as "partial 16S ribosomal RNA". It matches the Rfam family "Archaeal small subunit ribosomal RNA", at positions 374 to 471 of the family's 1478-position model. The record is from RNAcentral. Lineage: Archaea; Methanobacteriati; Methanobacteriota.